Molecule: transfer RNA, 71 nt
Filed under: Marmota monax (woodchuck)
Lineage: Eukaryota; Metazoa; Chordata; Mammalia; Rodentia; Sciuridae
Description: tRNA.Ala
Rfam family: tRNA (bases 6-66)
About the family: Transfer RNA (tRNA) molecules are approximately 80 nucleotides in length. Their secondary structure includes four short double-helical elements and three loops (D, anti-codon, and T loops).
Source: RNAcentral
GGGGUUGUAGCUCAGUGGUAGAGCGCUUGCCUCGCAUGCGUGAAGUACUGAGUUGGAUCCUCAGCACUACA